This 462-nucleotide ribosomal RNA is filed under the name Streptococcus mitis. Its description in RNAcentral is "bacterial SSU rRNA". It matches the Rfam family "Bacterial small subunit ribosomal RNA", at positions 28 to 474 of the family's 1533-position model. The record is from RNAcentral. Lineage: Bacteria; Bacillati; Bacillota; Bacilli; Lactobacillales; Streptococcaceae.
GACGAACGCUGGCGGCGUGCCUAAUACAUGCAAGUAGAACGCUGAAGGAGGAGCUUGCUUCUCUGGAUGAGUUGCGAACGGGUGAGUAACGCGUAGGUAACCUGCCUGGUAGCGGGGGAUAACUAUUGGAAACGAUAGCUAAUACCGCAUAAGAGUAGAUGUUGCAUGACAUUUGCUUAAAAGGUGCAAUUGCAUCACUACCAGAUGGACCUGCGUUGUAUUAGCUAGUUGGCGGGGUAACGGCUCACCAAGGCGACGAUACAUAGCCGACCUGAGAGGGUGAUCGGCCACACUGGGACUGAGACACGGCCCAGACUCCUACGGGGGGCAGCAGUAGGGAAUCUUCGGCAAUGGACGGAAGUCUGACCGGGCAACGCCGCGUGAGUGAAGAAGGUUUUCGGAUCGUAAAGCUCUGUUGUAAGAGAAGAACGAGUGUGAGAGUGGAAAGUUCACACUGUGACG